CAAGACAGAUUAGAAUCCCUUGGAGAGAAGGGAUUUUACCAGGAUACCUGUCGGGAAUGGGUUUCUUUUCGGGACUUUAGCAUGCAUCAAGGUCCUGGCUUGGAUUCUCAGCCCCUUUGGGUGGUGGGGGAUGCAUAUGUUUUUUGGGCUGCUAGGCAUCCUUUAGCUUUGGAUACCUCCAUUUUUCCUGGGGCCCUUCACGUUCGCUGGGUGGGAGUCCAGGGGCUUGAAUGGGCCGGGCUGCGUAAGGUCCUGUCUGACACGGCAGCUCGUUUUGGCAUCCCCCGAGUUUUGGUGAUACAUCUAGGCGGGAAUGAUUUAGGUUUCCUUAAGUCUCUGGGUUUAAUCUUGGCCAUUAAAGAAGACAUACAAUGGCUGGUGGAAUUAUGGAAAGGGAUCAAGAUCAUUUGGUCAGAUAUCACCCCCCCGAAGGUCUUGGUGUAGCCCAGCCAGUGGGCCCAAGCUUGAUGAGGCUCGCAAAAAGGUCCAUACAGCUGCAGGUCGCUUUGUUUUGAGUCAUGGUGGCUUGGUAGUGCGUCAUCACAUGUUGCGCUACAGGUAUGCUCAUCUUUACAGACCAGAUGGCGUUCUUUUGUCUGGUGAGGGUAUUGGCAUUUUUCUGCAGCAAUUGUUUAGGGGGUUAGUGGAGGCUAUAGCUAGUUUAGCACAUUAGAGUUUGAGCUUUGUUCUUAGGUUUCUGCAAUUUGGAGCAUAUACUGGACGAUAUCACCCGCAUGGAGAUCACUGAUACCACCUGCAAGGGGUUCCAAUUUCAUAAGUAUAUGGUACGCAGAGAAUGCACUGAAACUCCAUGUUAGGCUAAUGUUGGUUCAUAGAAUCACAUCAUGGGUCUUCACCUGUUUGCUUGUUCUGUAGUCUGCCACCAGUUUUAGUCUAGCUUCAGUUAUCAUAUUCAGAUUUAACCAAAUUUAGAAAAUGAAUUUAAUAAACAAGUUUUCAUUUGACCAUA
Long non-coding RNA from Pseudophryne corroboree (corroboree frog), 970 nucleotides. RefSeq lists it as uncharacterized. The record is from RefSeq and is a predicted model, not a curated record. NCBI's taxonomy places the organism in Eukaryota, Metazoa, Chordata, Amphibia, Anura, Myobatrachidae. The transcript is spliced from 2 exons.